Long non-coding RNA from Tympanuchus pallidicinctus (lesser prairie-chicken), 225 nucleotides. RefSeq lists it as uncharacterized. NCBI's taxonomy places the organism in Eukaryota, Metazoa, Chordata, Aves, Galliformes, Phasianidae. The transcript is spliced from 3 exons. The record is from RefSeq and is a predicted model, not a curated record.
GCGCUGCUCCUGGUGUCUGUGCAAUCACACUGGAUCUGUUGUUGCAGGGACGGAGCCUGCGCGUCCGUGGGAUGGUGCUGGGCACGGGGGGAAACGGAAAGCCUCCCCAGAAGCUGAUGCAAGCAGGCUUGCAGUGAAGCGCAGCCUUCCAGGAAGGCCGGGGAGGAGCACGGAGUGUGGCCCAGCACCCAAGAGAGGGAGAGGAGCUGAGCCAAAUGGCAAGAU